UCGUUUGUCUAGUUUAUCCACAUUAGAGUGUAAGUCAUGUCAGCUCGGGAAACAUACCCGUGCCUCCUUUCCUCGUAGUAUUGAGAAUCGUGCAGAGUCUGUUUUUUCUUUAGUUCAUUCAGAUAUAUGGGGUCGUAGCAGAGUAUGUUCAACCUUGGGAUUUCGUUAUUUGUUAGUUUCAUUGAUGAUCAUUCAAGAUGUACUUGGAUUUUCUUAAUGAAAGAUCGUUCUGAGUUGUUUUCUAUAUUCCAGAAUUUUUGUGCUGN
RNAcentral lists this long non-coding RNA (266 nucleotides) under Nicotiana benthamiana. RNAcentral's name for it is "long non-coding RNA (NBEN_LNC011307)". The record is from RNAcentral. Lineage: Eukaryota; Viridiplantae; Streptophyta; Magnoliopsida; Solanales; Solanaceae.